This 253-nucleotide ribosomal RNA is filed under the name uncultured prokaryote. Its description in RNAcentral is "partial 16S ribosomal RNA". It matches the Rfam family "Bacterial small subunit ribosomal RNA", at positions 525 to 777 of the family's 1533-position model. The record is from RNAcentral.
ACAGAGGGGGCAAGCGUUGUUCGGAAUUACUGGGCGUAAAGGGCGCGUAGGCGGCCUUCUAAGUCGAACGUGAAAUCCCCGGGCUUAACCUGGGAAUGGCCUUUGUGACUGCACGGCUAGAGUGUGUCAGAGGGGGGUAGAAUUCCACGUGUAGCAGUGAAAUGCGUAGAGAUGUGGAGGAAUACCGAUGGCGAAGGCAGCCCCCUGGGAUAACACUGACGCUCAUGCACGAAAGCGUGGGGAGCAAACAGGA